This 628-nucleotide unclassified non-coding RNA is filed under the name Hevea brasiliensis (rubber tree). The record is from RNAcentral. Lineage: Eukaryota; Viridiplantae; Streptophyta; Magnoliopsida; Malpighiales; Euphorbiaceae.
AAAGAAUCUAUCACCUCACAAGUAUAAAUUCUCAUAAUGCAGGUCUUGCUACCUUAACACGGUAGAAGAAUAUGAUGAAUAGAGAUACAUCAGAUUGACUAACAUAAUAAAGUGGUUAAGCCUUGCAGUAAACCAUAUCCAGCUUAGAGGAAUGCUGAUUUUCUGGGCUGAAUGCUACAGAAGUGUCAAAUUACUGUUUCACCAUGAAGGAACUUUUACAACUGCACCCACCCACUGCACUUGGAUUGGUAGAAACCUGAAAAGCAGAGCGGAUCAGCUCCUCAACAUAAUCAACAGUUGCACCUUUGACAAAAUCGAAUGAUACAUUAUCCACAACCAAUUUAACUCCGUCAUGCUCAAAAAUUCUGUCAUCCGAAUUGGUCUUAUCAUCUAGAGAGAAUUCAUAUUGAAACCCAGAACAACCACCGGCUUCAACACUCAACCGGAGCAUCUUCUCUUUAUGUUCGCCAGCUUGCAACUCUUUAAUCCUACGAACGCAGUUCUCAGUCAUUACAACGGAAUCUGUAGCUUCGACUUGAGAUUGAGAUUGAGAUUGGGGCUGUGAUAGAGCAGAAGCUGAAGAAUUCAAAAGUCGGUAAUUUUGACGAAUUCGGGCGGUGAAGAAGGG